Long non-coding RNA from Octopus sinensis (East Asian common octopus), 104 nucleotides. RefSeq lists it as uncharacterized. NCBI's taxonomy places the organism in Eukaryota, Metazoa, Mollusca, Cephalopoda, Octopoda, Octopodidae. The record is from RefSeq and is a predicted model, not a curated record. The transcript is spliced from 3 exons.
AUCACGCUUGAAACUCAGGAGAACCAAUGAAUUUGAAUCAAGCUGUUUUGAUUCAUACAUGUAACUCUUAAUAAAUUUGUUUAAGAAGUAAAAUAUAUUAAUAG